CAUGCCUAACACAUGCAAGUCGAACGAACCCUUCGGGGUGAGUGGCGCAUGGGUGCGUACGCGUGGGAACCUGCCUUUAGGUUCGGAAUAACGGUUUCAAAUGACUGCUUUACCGGAUGAUGUCUUCGGACCAUAGAUUUAUCGCCUUUAGAUGGGCCCGCCUUGGAUUAGCUAGAUGGUGGGGUAAAAGCCUACGAAGGCGACGAUCUCGGGGUGGUCUGAGAGGAUGAUCAUCCUCACUGGGACUGAGAGGGGCCCUUACUCCUAGGGGAGGCACCGGUGGGGAAUAUUGGGCAAUGGGCGAGAGCCUGAUCCGGCUGUGCCGCGUGUUUGAUGAGGGCCUUAAGGUUGUAAACCUCUUUUACCAGGGAUGAUAAUGACAGUACCUGGAGAAUAAGCUCCGGCUAGGUCCGUGCCAUGUUCCGCGGUAAUACGGAGGGAGCUAACGUUGUUCGGAAUUACUGGGCGUAGGGCGAACGUAGGCGGCAUCCCCCGUCAGGGGUGAAAUCCCGGGGCUCAACCCCGGAACUGCCUCUGAAACUGGUAAGCUAGAAUCCUGGAGAGGCGAGUGAAAUUCCGAGAGUAGCGGUGGAAUUCGUAGAUAUUCGGAAGAACACUAGUGGCGAAGGCGACUCGCUGGACGGGUAUUGACGCUGACGUUCCAGAGCGUGGGGAGCCAACAAGAUUAAGUACCCUGGUAUUCCACGCCGUAUGCUAUGAUAACUAGCUGUCCGGGCU
RNAcentral lists this ribosomal RNA (738 nucleotides) under uncultured bacterium. RNAcentral describes it as "bacterial SSU rRNA". It matches the Rfam family "Bacterial small subunit ribosomal RNA", at positions 43 to 830 of the family's 1533-position model. The record is from RNAcentral.